Molecule: ribosomal RNA, 777 nt
Filed under: Clostridioides difficile
Lineage: Bacteria; Bacillati; Bacillota; Clostridia; Peptostreptococcales; Peptostreptococcaceae
Description: partial 23S ribosomal RNA
Rfam family: Bacterial large subunit ribosomal RNA
Source: RNAcentral
ACACUUAAGGUGCGGAGCCGUAGCGAAAGCGAGUUUUAACUGAGCGUUCAGUUACUUGACGUAGACCCGAAACCGGGCGACCUACCCAUGAGCAGGAUGAAGCGAAAGUAAAAUUUCGUGGAGGUCCGAACCCACGAGCGUUGAAAAGCUCGGGGAUGACUUGUGGGUAGCGGUGAAAUUCCAAUCGAGCCCGGAGAUAGCUGGUUCUCCCCGAAAUAGCUUUAGGGCUAGCCUCAAGGUGAGAGAUACGGAGGUAGAGCACUGAAUGUCCUAGGGGGUAUUGCACCUACCGAAGACUAUCAAACUCCGAAUGCCGUCAUCUUAUACUUGGGAGUCAGACUGUGGGUGAUAAGAUUCAUAGUCGAAAGGGCAACAGCCCAGAUCGUCAGCUAAGGUCCCUAAAUGUAAGUUAAGUGGUAAAGGAUGUGGGAUUGCACAGACAACCAGGAUGUUGGCUUAGAAGCAGCCACUCAUUCAAAGAGUGCGUAAUAGCUCACUGGUCGAGUGAUCCUGCGCCGAAGAUUUCCGGGGCUAAAACUUACUACCGAAGCUACGGCAUCAGUAAUGAUGGGUAGGGGAGCUUCCCAUACGGGUUGAAGCAUGACCGUAAGGACAUGUGGACAGUAUGGGAGUGAGAAUGUUGGCAUGAGUAGCGAGAUGUGGGUGAGAAUCCCACAGGCCGUAAACCCAAGGUUUCCAGGGGAAGGUUCGUCCGCCCUGGGUUAGUCGGGACCUAAGCUGAGGCCGAAAGGCGUAGGUGAUGGACAACAGGUUGAU